This is a long non-coding RNA of Rosa rugosa (rugosa rose), 819 nucleotides long. RefSeq lists it as uncharacterized. The transcript is spliced from 3 exons. NCBI's taxonomy places the organism in Eukaryota, Viridiplantae, Streptophyta, Magnoliopsida, Rosales, Rosaceae. The record is from RefSeq and is a predicted model, not a curated record.
CUCCCGAGCCCAGAUUUGUUCCUCUCUCUUCCACCGGCCAUAUCUCCCUCCACAGACCUCCGAUCGACUUGAUUCCAAAAGUAUUUUCAUUCGUCUUGAAGUCAGUUAAAACUUCCUAGAAGACAUCAAAGUGAGAAAAGAACCAUGGAAGGUGCUAGGAGGCCGAGAAGCUGCACAGCUCGAGCUGGAAUUCGCCCGAUGCUGCUCUUCCUUCACCGGCCGAUAUCUCUCUCAUCCAACCUCGAAUCGAGUUGAUUCCAAAAGGGAUUUUGCUGGGCCUGAGCUAUAUUACAACUUUGUAGAAGACAUCGAGGGGAAAUAACCAACGUGGUAGCCGCUACAAGUCGAAGAACACGGUGCAGUCGAGCUGGAAAUCACCUCCUUUCCCCACCGUCGUUCUCCCUCCUCCGGCCACCUUUUGCCGUGAUUCUUGAGAGGAUUCUGCACUUCUGAGGAUGUAGAUCAUUUCCCCUAAGGUGGAUUGCAUCGAUUUCAUCUGUAGAGAUCGAAUUGGAACGAAUUCAAAACUAGGGUUCUUCGGGUUUCAAACCUUAUAAGGUGAUUGACGGUUUGAGUUAGUGGAUGAUUGUGGAUCGUAUUUUGAGCGGAAUUGAAGACGCAGCGGGAUUAUCGAGCGGGUAAUCCUACAGGACAGGAGAACCAGGACGGUGAUCGUGCGGUUAGAGCAAUUGUUAGAGUUUUACAGCAAUUGUACGUUGUGAGGUGUGUUAUGCUCAUUUGAGCUUUACAAUAUUGCUUGUGAGAGUGAAUUGUAAUAAUGAACUCGAAGUUUCGAGAUUUGGAUUUUGUAAUUGUAAU